RNAcentral lists this long non-coding RNA (1035 nucleotides) under Homo sapiens (human). RNAcentral describes it as "HSALNT0310471". Lineage: Eukaryota; Metazoa; Chordata; Mammalia; Primates; Hominidae. The record is from RNAcentral.
GAUUUUUAAUGGCUCCUCUCAAAGAUUAACAUCUCUUCACUAAAUACAGAAGAAUUCCAUAUGUAAUGAAUUUCCAGCCUCCAUGAAAACAAAAUGGACUCUUUCAUGCUGUCUCAACAUAUGAAUACAUUGCUCUGUCACCUGGGUGUUAUUACCGACUUAAAUCUGAAAGAAGCUGGGCACGGCAGUGGUGUGUGGGUGCCUGCAGUCCUGAGGAGCUGGGACUGUUUCCCGAACAAUGCCUUUCCACCACACACGGUGGUUGUGAGGGCCAGCUGAGGCAAAGCCCUCAGGAAGACCACUCAAGCCCAGGAGUCCAGCCUGCGCAAGACAGUAAGACCCCUUAAAAAAAAAAAAAUCUGAAAGAAAAUAUAGAGCCAAAUCUUUAGAUAAAUGCUUUAUUAUUUUCUCAAAAUGUUAUAAAAGUCAUUUCUCCUUAGUACAGAGAGCUUUAUACAUUUUAUCUAGUAAUGAAUACAAUCUAGUUUAACACUCAUCUAUUUUACUAACAUUUCCUUAAUUUUCAAUUCGUAUUUUUCCUUUUCUUUCCUGAUUUUAGCUUUUUUUAGGCUUCUGUCACCACAAAAUGUUACUUGGAAAACUAGAUCCCAGCAGAUGACCUGUACUUCUCUGCUCUCUCCCCUACUGCAAAGAGGCAGUGAGGGCAGCAUUAGUAAGCCUGACUCAGGGGAAGGUAAGUGGCCUGCAGAGAAAUGGUCCUAGGUCCGCAACCGAGGCGAGUGAACUUGUCGGACAGAUGAAGACUCUAACUGGAAGAAACGAUCAGCGCAUUCACGGAUGCACCACCAUCCAGAAAUCUCCCGGUGGCUUCCAUACAAAAACUGAUGUUUCUAAAGAUGGAAAGAACAGGUCUAGGAGGCAGAAGAGUAUCUCCUAGCAAAGUGUUCUGUAGCUCAAAGGUCAGGAGCACGUCUUUGAAUUCCUCGCAGACGAUGUAUCCAUCAGUCCUGUGGGGACACAACGCGAUGUCAACCCUCGAACCUGCUGCCUGCUCUGCCUCUCCUCCCUCCCCAG